Molecule: ribosomal RNA, 549 nt
Filed under: Triticum aestivum (bread wheat)
Lineage: Eukaryota; Viridiplantae; Streptophyta; Magnoliopsida; Poales; Poaceae
Description: partial small subunit ribosomal RNA
Source: RNAcentral
AUGCUCGUCCGCGUCGACCCCGGUCCCGUGGUGACCCUCCUCUGCCACCAGCGUCGCUGCUCCUGCUUCAUUCCGGUGAGGCUCCGCCGGGAUCCGUUCGCAUCCACGCCGCCCGCGUCGCCAAGCCCCGGCCGCAGCCAUCGAUUCCUGUCGUUCCCGAGUCCCCUGCUUCGCCCCUGCAUCCUCUGCUUCGAGCAAGAGGACGAGCGCGCCGCCCCUGCGUUGACCCGCACACUGCCUCGCUUGACAGUCCUCCCCAUCUCGCUGAGUCCAGAUGCGCGCCUAAGCAGCCCAAGCCGGCCUGCUCCUCCAUGCCCUCGCGGGCCGUCUCCAUCGACUGGGCUGAGGCCCAUGCUUUGGUUUCUUUCCGGAGUUGUGAGGAUUCGUUCCACUACGUCCGUUUGUCUUCUUCAUGGACUCGUUCUUCUUCCUUGCGGGAUCUCAGUUGCAGGUGCCGAUGAUACCAGUGCAGGUGGCGCAACCACGCUCAAGUGGGAGCUCGAUGAAGAUCUUAGUCGUUGUUUUUUGUCUUUUCUGGAUGAUCAGUAG